This is a long non-coding RNA of Oreochromis niloticus (Nile tilapia), 1509 nucleotides long. RefSeq lists it as uncharacterized. The transcript is spliced from 2 exons. The record is from RefSeq and is a predicted model, not a curated record. Lineage: Eukaryota; Metazoa; Chordata; Actinopteri; Cichliformes; Cichlidae.
GUCCCUGUAGGAAUGCAGACACACAGCUGAGUCCUCAGGUUACCUGCUUUGAAAUGUGACUCCUCUGCAAACACGGGAGUGGUAAGAGUCUAAUGAAAGGCCUUUUAUCAGCCUGUCCCAUUUCAUCCAUCAGUCUGAUCAGUGCUGGAAACGUUUUUAAAUACCUGAAAAUCUUUCCAGGAACCAAACUCAAGGAUUUAUGUGAUUAUUCAAGGACACCUAAAACAUUCUCGGUGCACAGAGGACCUCCUAACGGACACAAACAAGGCCUCGAGAGACCUCCAGAAAUCCCCCAGUGACUUCCUUUGCAUCCCUAAUGAAAUAGUACAUCAACAAAAACUAUAAAACAUGACUGAACUUGUUGUUUACAGAAAGACACUUUUCAUCUGACAAAGGAAGAGUUUGCUUUGGGGAAACACAGGAGGGACUUUACUACCACGUGAACCAAAGCUUCUCCACAGCAGCCAUUUUUACAAUCCAGCGUGUUACUCGUGCAUUAAUCAAGGUUGAGCCUUGAAACUCCCACUGCCCUCGUGCUGCUGCUGCUCUCCUCUCUGCGAGGCGGUCAGCUGAUGCAGCACACCUGUACCUUCAACGUGAUAAAAGCUGGCCCAGGUGUGGUGCCUUUUAUUCAUUCAGCAGAACUUACUGUGAGUUUGUUUUUCAUAAAUUCUACUUCAUGUAAUUUUGUCAUGCACACACUUCUUGUUGUUUAGCUUGAGGCAGUAACACAUGGAGUGGUGUCUGGGAGGGUAAACUCCUUUGGUAAGCUUACAGCUUGAGUCAUAGUUAAUGGCCAGCUUGCUUUGAAGUCUGCAAAUAUUAAACUUAGCGUUUGUUGAUUUUAGCAUUGUGUCCAAGAUUUCUGGGAGUGUCACACAAGACGGUGUUUGGUUUCGGUCCUUGGCUCAUCAUCAGAGACGAUCUGCACAUCGUUCAGAAUUCAUUCUCGUGGUUUCCUGUUUCCUUUGAACAUUGCACAGAGUUUGUAUGAGUGAAGCAGCAGGUCAAAGACCAGCUAUGCUUGUGUACAGAAUCAGGCCAGGAAUGUCUGCUGAUGCUACAGGAGAAGUAGGAGGACCACCAGAGUGUGGUGUGAACCUGUGGACAAAGUCUGAUUCAGUGUGCACACCAGACUCCAGAAUACAGUGUGGACAAAGUCAGAGAUGCUGGAGUUACCAGAACCAAAAGCAGUGCCAUAGAAAGAGACCAAUCAGACCCUCAGAGCUGUUAAUACGUGAUGGAUGGGUAUUAUUGAGCGAUUUAAGGGUUAGUGGAGAAACACUGAGCAACUUUCUGGGCAAAUUCAGCCUUACAAUAAAAACCUGAACACCGAUAAACACACAUGAACUUCAUGGUGUUAGGAAAAAUCUUUUUAAAUGUUUAACACAUAAUACUGAGGAAGCACAGCAGGUGGCGCUGUCAGUCUGAACUGCCCAAAAAGUUCCCGUCAGGCAGCGAUUAGUAAGAUGUUAAUGUGAUGAGUUAGAGGAACCAGAUCUGCUGGAA